This is a ribosomal RNA of Danio rerio (zebrafish), 114 nucleotides long. The record is from Ensembl. Lineage: Eukaryota; Metazoa; Chordata; Actinopteri; Cypriniformes; Danionidae.
AGCCACAGCCAUAUCACCCUGCAGCCCAAGACCGGUUACUCUGAAGCAAAGCAGGGCUGUGCCUGGUCAGUACCUGGAUGGGAGACCACAUGGAAGCAGGGCCAGCAGGGGGUG